UCGACGAUUAGUUUGAUCCUGGCUCAGAGCGAACGCUGGCGGCGUGCCUAACACAUGCAAGUCGAACGUGAACGGGGGCAACCCCUAGUAAAGUGGCGUACGGGUGAGUAACGCGUAGGUAAUCUACCCCAGAGUUUGGAAUAACCUGCCGAAAGGCGGGCUAAUACCAGAUAGAGCGACGGAAUCCGUAAUUGGGUUUUUCGGGAAAGGGAGCCGGCAACGGCCUUUGCUCUGGGAUGAGCCUGCGUCUCAUUGGCUAGUUGGUGGGGUAAAAGCCCACCAAGGCAUUGAUGGGUAGCUGGUCUGAGAGGAUGAUCAGCCACACUGGAACUGAAACACGGUCCAGACUCCUACGGGAGGCAGCAGUGGGGAAUCUUGCGCAAUGGAGGAAACUCUGACGCAGCCACGCCGCGUGGAGUGAAGAAGGCCUUCGGUUUGUAAAGCUCCGUCGGAAGGGACGAACAUUUUUAGGGUUAACAGCCCUAGGAACUGACGGUACCUUCAAAGGAAGCACCGGCUAACUCCGUGCCAGCAGCCGCGGUAAUACGGAGGGUGCAAGCGUUGCUCGGAAUUAUUGGGCGUAAAGGGCAAGUAGGUGGUCUCAUUUGUCAGGGGUGAAAGCCUUGGGCUUAACUCAAGAAGUGCCCCUGAAACGGUGAGACUAGAGUGCUGGAGAGGGUCGUGGAAUUCCCGGUGUAGCGGUGAAAUGCGUAGAGAUCGGGAGGAACACCAGAGGCGAAGGCGGCGACCUGGACAGCGACUGACACUCAACUGCGAAAGCGUGGGGAGCAAACAGGAUUAGAUACCCUGGUAGUCCACGCUGUAAACGAUGGGUACUAGGCUUGGUGGGUCUUGACCCCCGCCGAGCCGGAGCUAACGCACUAAGUACCCCGCCUGGGAAGUACGGUCGCAAGACUAAAACUCAAAGGAAUUGACGGGGGCCCGCACAAGCGGUGGAUCAUGUGGUUUAAUUCGAAGCAACGCGAAAAACCUUACCUGGGUUUGACAUCCUCUGACAGCUCUAGAGAUAGAGUUUUUGUAGAAAUACAACAGAGAGACAGGUGCUGCAUGGCUGUCGUCAGCUCGUGUGGUGACAUGUUGGGUUAAGUCCCGCAACGAGCGCAACCCUCGUCUUUAGUUGCUACCAUUUAGUUGAGCACUCUAAAGAAACUGCCGGUGAUAAGCCGGAGGAAGGUGGGGAUGACGUCAAGUCCUCAUGGCCCUUACGCGCUGGGCUACACACGUGCUACAAUGGCGGUGACAACGGGCAGCAAACUCGCGAGAGUGAGCAAAUCCCAAAAAGCCGUCUCAGUUCGGAUUGUUCUCUGCAACUCGAGAGCAUGAAGGCGGAAUCGCUAGUAAUCGCGGAUCAGCACGCCGCGGUGAAUACGUUCCCAGGCCUUGUACACACCGCCCGUCACACCAUGGGAGUUGGUUUCACCCGAAGGCGCUACGCUAACCCGCAAGGGAGGCAGGCGACCACGGUGGGAUCAGCGACUGGGGUGAAGUCGUAACAAGGUAGCCGUAAAUCUCUAG
Molecule: ribosomal RNA, 1536 nt
Filed under: uncultured bacterium
Lineage: Bacteria
Description: partial 16S ribosomal RNA
Rfam family: Bacterial small subunit ribosomal RNA
Source: RNAcentral